Mycena vulgaris is the source of this 93-nucleotide non-coding RNA. NCBI's taxonomy places the organism in Eukaryota, Fungi, Basidiomycota, Agaricomycetes, Agaricales, Mycenaceae. The record is from the annotation of a GenBank genome assembly.
GACCUGAUAGCAUAAUUGGAUUGUGUGCCUGCUCAAUAUGUGGAGAUACAUGUUGUGAAGCAGGAGGUCCCCGUUCGAUCCGGGGUCGGGUUA